Long non-coding RNA from Maniola jurtina (meadow brown), 70 nucleotides. RefSeq lists it as uncharacterized. NCBI's taxonomy places the organism in Eukaryota, Metazoa, Arthropoda, Insecta, Lepidoptera, Nymphalidae. The transcript is spliced from 3 exons. The record is from RefSeq and is a predicted model, not a curated record.
UCGGAAUCUAUAAAAUCACCAAUUUUCAAACUCCCGGGAAACUUUCCAGGUAUCUCCGUUUUGAUUGUGA